ACCAGGGCGGGGGCUUCUCUCACAGCCGCCUUUCUUCUUUUGGUUUAACGAUUUCCUUGCGCUUUUACCUCUCCGCCAUUUCCGCCGUCAACGUGUCGGGUGCGAGAGGGCUUCAGCCGUGGAGCAUCUUCGCUCACAGAAGAAAUCAACGUCAAAGGGUUGCCUGCAUCAGCACGGUGCAGGUAUGGCGACCCCUGUCACGGAUCCGCCGAAGAUCAUCGGCCGCGAGCUUCACCUCGACCGCCUCAUCGGCAGCGGUGGCUUCGGCGAAGUGUAUUUGGCUGUUCGCACCAAGUUGGCAACGAAUCCAAAGCACAACUUCACGUUCCCAGCGGAGUGCGUCGUCAAGGUGAUGCGGCGAGGGCUCUGCACCGAGGAGGAUGUUGCCGCCAUGAAUCGAGAGGUGGCGACGCUGAGCUCAAUGGACCAUCCGUACAUUGUCGCCUAUAUCGGCGCUUGGGUGGAGGCGGCACGCGGGAAGUUCUUCGGCUGCUAUUGCCUGGCCAUGAAGUACUGCGAAGGUGGAGACCUGCACGGGUUCAUUGCGCAGUGUAUCAAGGCUCACCGCCUUCCCCCUGUUGACGUUGCGGUGCGCAUCAUGGCACAAGUCUUCUCUGCCCUCAACUACAGCCACUCACGCCGACUUAUCCACCGCGAUAUCAAGCCGGGUAAUGUGUUUCUGACGCUUCAGAAGAGCGGGGUGCCGGACAAGGCAAUGGUGGGCGACUAUGGUCUUGUGCGCUCACUUGAGGCGACGCGGCAGCUGGUCAAGACGCGCGUGGGGACGCCGACGUACAUUUCACCUGAGAUCGCCGCUGGCGAGGCGUACAGCACCAAGACGGACAUCUUUUCUGCAGGCACCAUGUUCUACGAGCUGCUUUCCCUGCAUCGUCCGUUCUGGAAGCGGAUGAUGACAGACCAGCAGCUGUUUCGCGAGGUCCUGCACCGCGAUCCGAUGCCGCAGUUUCGUGCGUACACGAGCUCCGUCUACGGCACUGCACUGGCCGACGUGAUUGAGGCGUGUCUUACGAAGCACGAGGCAAACAGGGCCACCGCCUACGACGCUCUUGUCCGCCUGACCUCGCCGAUCACCGCGUACGUGCUCAAGUACGCCAUUCCGGUGUACCCGGAAAAGGACGCGUUGACGACGUCUCCGCCGCGCCCGCCUGCCGCGUCAUCCGCGCCCGACGGUCACGCAUCCGCAGCGGAUGCGGAUGGAGACGCUGCCACGGCGCGUCAACGGCUAGAGCGUCUGUUCCUUGUCCGCAAAGGCACAGCAGUGGGUGCCAGACUCACGCGCCUGCUGUCGCACAAUGCCGAGCUUCUCUUCCAAGUACGCGUCCUGGUCGCCUGCCGCAGUGACAAUACUGACCAUCUCGAGAAUGGCUUGGCAGAGCUGCUCUGGGCGUUUCCAGAUGCAGAGGUACCCUUUCAGGAAGUAAUCGAUUUAGUUAUGAGUGACUACCGCCAACUUGCGGAGUAAGGGUGGCUGAGGGACCCCAGCGCUGCCUGGUGGGCUCCUCGCGCUUUUCCGACAAGAGGUGCAUAUGCAUGUGCGGGCAACAUCUUCGCAGAUCGCACGGAGGUGUGCUGGCGUACGGCCAUCACGCCAUCUGCAGCUGUCCGUGGGGAACGAGCAUUUUUUAUCUUCUAUUCUCAGCUCACUGUUGCCUACCCUCCAUUUGCCUCUCGUCUCUCUCUCUCUAUCGUUUGAGUUGUACUCUCACCUGUCUGCCCUUAAUCUUGCCCCCUCCUCCUCCCCCUCCCUCCAUCUCUUCCCCAUUCCUUUGUACCCUUCACCUCUCAUUCCCCGCUCUCCUCCUCGCUUCUUGCCUGCUGCUUGUUGUGUGACUCCAG
Molecule: unclassified non-coding RNA, 1857 nt
Filed under: Leishmania donovani
Lineage: Eukaryota; Euglenozoa; Kinetoplastea; Trypanosomatida; Trypanosomatidae
Description: gene:LdHU3.26.3360(CDS-product:protein_kinase_put ative)
Source: RNAcentral